AAAUAGAACUUUGCAGAGAGAGUUAACAGGGCGUGAAACCGUUGAUUGGCAAACGAAUCGGAGCCACGAAGUCGUUUCGUCGUUUAGCCUAUGGCUUGGUUCAGCGAGUGUCGCAAGGCACUUGUGUAUUCCAGAGCUUGGCCAAACUUUGUAAGCGUACACUGCAACCAGUUAGACGAUUAGCCAUGGGCACAGUUGUUGGCAAUGCCUCGGCAGGGCCUUCAGCGAAGCACUUGUUUGCUUGUGAUAGUAGUAGCGCGGUCGGGUCUUGUACCCUUCUCGUGUUGCUGGUCACUUGCGAGAGAACUAUGGCUAAAUACUGACUGGCGAAAUGAAAAUCGCUCUAUGAGCGUUAGAGACAACGCAGCUAACCGCAUGCUGGUCUACACAGUUGACUGUCAAGUGCAAGCUUGGCGUCUUUGAAUUCAGACUUGCGCGCUACCAGUGGGGCAACUCCUGGUGCGUGUAUAGCUUCUGUCUAAUCGGGCGUCGACUUCAUCUGGCAUCGUUUGGUUGUGAAACGAUUGGGCUAGUAUGCGAGCUAGUUCGCAAUGCGAAUUGGCAGUGAGUAGGUCGGCUUUCCGAACGACCCGUCUUGAAACACGGACCAAGGAGUCUAAUUAGGCAUCGAGUCGAUCGGUCUUGAUAGGCCAGACAUGUGAGUUUCGACUUGCAACUUGAAGGCGUAGAGAAAUCAAAUCGUGUGAUCGUGGUGGCAAAAACAGCCGCUUCGCGCAACAUGUGCCUGUUCGUAUAACUACUGUAGCAAUACUAGUUGAGCGGAGCAAAGAGAUGCCUGAUUGGGACCCGAAAGAUGGUGAACUAUGCCUGGGCAAAUUGAAGCCAGAGGAAACUCUGGUGGAGGAUUGUAGCGAUUCUGACGUGCAAAUCGAUCGUCAGACCUGGGUAUAGGGGCGAAAGACUAAUCGAACCAUC
RNAcentral lists this ribosomal RNA (936 nucleotides) under Tetra phyllostachyis. RNAcentral's name for it is "partial 28S ribosomal RNA". It matches the Rfam family "Eukaryotic large subunit ribosomal RNA", at positions 366 to 944 of the family's 3401-position model. Lineage: Eukaryota; Metazoa; Arthropoda; Arachnida; Trombidiformes; Eriophyidae. The record is from RNAcentral.